GCCGGGCGUGGUGGCGCAUGCCUGUAAUCCCAGCAGCUCGGGAAGCUGAGGCAGGAGGAUUAUGAGUUCAAAGCCAGCCUCAGCAAUUCAGCAAGGCCCUAAGCAAUUCAGCAAGACCCUGUCUCUA
This 127-nucleotide small RNA is filed under the name Marmota monax (woodchuck). The record is from RNAcentral. Lineage: Eukaryota; Metazoa; Chordata; Mammalia; Rodentia; Sciuridae.